Schistocerca cancellata (South American locust) is the source of this 381-nucleotide long non-coding RNA. RefSeq lists it as uncharacterized. The record is from RefSeq and is a predicted model, not a curated record. NCBI's taxonomy places the organism in Eukaryota, Metazoa, Arthropoda, Insecta, Orthoptera, Acrididae. The transcript has 2 exons.
UUAGAAAUUUUCCUGUUUUGAGGUUACGCUAAAUGUGAAAGAAUUUUGUGAGUUUAGAUUAAAUGUGAAGGAAUUUUGUGGGCACGUUAAAUGGGAAAGAAAUUUUGUUCUGAGGUUACACUAAAUUAGACUCGUAUUCAUAUUAUUUUAUAUAAUUUUGUGGGGAGGUUACAGUAUAUCUGUUCGUUUAUCACACGUUUGUUCUCUGCUAUGGCUCUCUGGAUGUUAUGUUGUGCCUGAACUGUUGUAAGGUCUUCGUUGUGGCUCUUGGUGCUAAUGAUUUCCAUAUCGUGCCCUGUACUGGUAAGAUGGUGUUUCAAAUAUUCUGCAAAUGCGGAAUGAUUUGUUUCAUAUUUCCAACACCUGAUGUAUUCUUUAUAU